AAUAUAACAUAAUAAUUAAUUUGAAUAAUGCAAUGUUUCUGUUUAGUUUUAGGGUUAUACUUGUUAUUUUCUUAGAUCCAUUUUAUUAAUACGUUGAAAGCAUACUGAGAUAUCAUCCACGUAUAAAAUUUACUUUUGAUCUAUAAUUUUAGCGAUAUCAUUAAUACAUAUUAGCAAUAAAUAAUGUCUAUUAACCCUUAUUAUUUGUUGGUAACGCUUCAGGGAAAUUCUGAAUUUCCAUAACGGUUAUUGACUCUUGGUUUUUAUUGAUCAUCUUGAAUAGCUGAAAAUAUUGAAUCGUUGAUGUUAGGCUUACAAUCUGUUGGUGUAAAGAACCUGUGUUAGGCAAAAGGUUAAGACUCCGUGGUUACGUUCCACCCACACCUUAAGGACUGGGUGAACCGCUUGCACUAUCCGGUUCAUUAAUCUCCCAUUCCUGGUCGUGAACUCCAACAAGAGCGGACAUCCCUAGACUUCCACAGGCCUCUACCUGACCUGUAGUGCUAUUCUCUAAGCAAACAGCCUAGACAUCAGCCUUGACGCAGCGAUGAAAUAUUGAAAUGGUAUUCACUAAUUCUUAAGACGCGACACUAGCGCCCAAAGACGAGCUCAAAGACGAGCGGCAUAAACGGGAACUACUCAAGGCUGUGCGAUUUGACAUUUUGCCAUAGUAUUUGGUAUUCACUAACAAAAAUCAGCCUCGCCUUCGCCGACAGCCUAGCCUACAGCCUCGAUUUCUUAUGUCAAACUCAAAAGCUUUGUUUUCUACGCUGUUUGCAUAGUAUUCAUCUAAUAUAUUUAUUUGUUUCUUGAAUUCUGUGAUUAUUAAUUGUAUUGAAAUUAUCAAUUUGUGUUUAAAAACGAUUGCUGCCCGUUUAUGUGUAUUGACCCAUUUGUUGAAAGAAGCUAAAAUAGAAAAUGAUUGUAAGAAAUGCCGACAAUCAACAACUUUAUGUGAUGUGGAUUAUAUUCAUCAUUACCGACUUUCUGAAGAAUUAAUCAAUAUGUUAGAAAAAGAAUUGUCACCAUGUAUGCCUGUUCCAGAGAGUUGUUAAAGCUAAAGGUGAUUUUGAAACUCAUUUAGUAGCAUGACACAAACCCUUGGACAGCCACAAUAAUAGUAGUGUAUUGCUGUAUUGUUUGUGAUAUGCUGAUAAUAUGAUGCAGUUACAUCAUCUAUACAAAAUGAAGAAGCACAAAAGAAAAUUUUGUAGUCUGAAAAUAAGCUAGCUAUACUUUUUGUACUUAUAUCUUAAAACUAUUUUCAAAUACUUUUUUAUUGUUACAUUUUUGUCUACCUGUGAAUUAAAAUUAAUAUUAUAUUAUGUUGUAAAUGUAUAUUUUAAUUUAAAAUUAUUAUAAUUAAUUCAUAUUAUAACUAGUAUGGAGUAAGAAAUUAAAAAAAAUAUUCAUUAAAAAUUAUUUAUUUGAAAUUGAAACAAGUUUAUAAUUAUAAAAUUUUAUUGUAAUUGUGUUUUUAUUUGAAAAUUAUAUAAGAUGAAACUUAUAUUUCAAAAUUACUAAUGACUAUUAAAUGACAUAAUUUAAUCUUAUAUUUUCAAUAAUGAACUUGAUUUAACUAAUAAUUCCAAUAACUCUUGUUAUGUUUGGCAGUGUAUAUUUUUAGAAAUGUAUUAUUGUAAAAUCUAUUAGUAUUUUAAAAACCAAAAUUGAGGUUUCUCCCCUUCUUCACAAUGGAUGGUAGAAUCAUAAAGAAUUACCAUUUAUAAUAUUUUAAAUUUAAUUGAAUAAAAAUUAUUUGACAUUUUUUUAAAUUUUUUUUAAUUAAAUCGUACAAUGGCUGACUUUAAUUUAGUCAUAUCUCAUUCAUUAGCUAUAAGAUAUGAACUAGUGUUGUCUGAUUCUCUAUCAAAAUUUGUUCUGUCUCUACUCGGUGCUCUUCAGUGGCAACAAAUCUUUGUGAGACUACUCUCUUUCUAGUUGAGGCUGCUAUUGUGAAGGAGAUAAGUGUCUUCGGGAUACUGUCAGUCAAAUGACGGCGUGGACCUAAAAAUAACAAUAAGACCAAUUAGACACAUAAUUCUAAAAUUAUAAAUUAGUUAUUUAUUUAAGAUACUCCACAAAAAUAUAAUUAAUCCUUUUUUCUGUUCGUGCAUGUCCUGUCACAAGCCAUGUCUGAUUCUUUAUAUAAUCCAUCAGCAUCUCCGACUACUUUGCGAAGGGACCUCAUUUCAUGGCAUGUUACGAGAUAUGCAUUUAUUUUAGUUACUAAAAAUAUAACCUUAAAAACAAUAAAGUAAAUAAAAAGCACAUUUUACUUACGUAUUUGAUAGAUACAUCCAAACUUAUAAAACGUUGGUAAAGUUACGUUAAUUUUAUUAAUUAUUUUUAAAAGAGAAUAAACAAAUACAAAAAGUGCGCCUCUGGAAUGUUAAGUACAAGGAAUAUAAUACUCUCUACGUACCUACGUAUAAGUGUUAUUUGUUUAUUUUACGGCAAUGGAAGCAAGGGUAUUCAAACAAAUCUUAACUUUAAAAAACAAAAUCAAAUGUUUGAUGUAUAAAUUUAUGUUUAUUUUAUAUAAUAUUUAUUUAAAUAACAUUCUAAACUGAAUAAAACAUUCCAUUUGUCAAUAAAAUAUUAUAUUUCUACA
Long non-coding RNA from Galleria mellonella (greater wax moth), 2614 nucleotides. RefSeq lists it as uncharacterized. The transcript has 2 exons. NCBI's taxonomy places the organism in Eukaryota, Metazoa, Arthropoda, Insecta, Lepidoptera, Pyralidae. The record is from RefSeq and is a predicted model, not a curated record.